UUUUCCGCAAUGGGCGCAAGCCUGACGGAGCAACGCCGCGUGAGGGAUGAAGGUUUUCGGAUCGUAAACCUCUGUCUUCAGGGACGAUAAUGACGGUACCUGAGGAGGAAGCCACGGCUAACUACGUGCCAGCAGCCGCGGUAAUACGUAGGUGGCGAGCGUUGUCCGGAAUUACUGGGCGUAAAGAGCGUAUAGGCGGCCUUUUAAGUCAGAUGUGAAAUCUCAGGGCUUAACCCUGAAACUGCAUUUGAAACUGGAGGGCUUGAGGAUCGGAGAGGGCAGUGGAAUUCCCAGUGUAGCGGUGAAAUGCGUAGAUAUUGGGAGGAACACCAGUGGCGAAGGCGACUGCCUGGACGACACCUGACGCUGAGGCGCGAAAGCUAGGGGAGCGAACGGG
RNAcentral lists this ribosomal RNA (397 nucleotides) under uncultured bacterium. RNAcentral's name for it is "bacterial SSU rRNA". It matches the Rfam family "Bacterial small subunit ribosomal RNA", at positions 362 to 776 of the family's 1533-position model. The record is from RNAcentral.